ACAUGUCUAUAUGAUUGUUAUAUAAAGUCUAGCCUGCCCACUGAUUUGUUUUAAAGGGCCGCGGUAUAUUGACCGUGCGAAGGUAGCAUAAUCAUUAGUCUUUUAAUUGGAGGCUUGUAUGAAUGGUUGGACAAAAAGUAAGCUGUCUCGGUUAUAAUAAUUGAACUUAACUUUUAAGUGAAAAGGCUUAAAUGUUUCAGGGGGACGAUAAGACCCUAUAAAGCUUGACAAUAAUUUCGUUAUAUUAUAAAUUGUUAGUAUAACUUGAUUUUAACGGGAGUUUGUUUCGUUGGGGCGACGGGAAUAUAAUAAAUAACUGUUCUUUUAAAUAUAAUUACAAAAAUACUUGGUAAAUAAUUGAUCCUCUAUUAGAGAUUAAAAGAUUAAGUUACUUUAGGGAUAACAGCGUAAUCUUCUUUGAGAGUCCACAUCGACAAGAAGGUUUGCGACCUCGAUGUUGAAUUAAGGUAUCCUUAUAAUGCAGCAGUUAUAAAGGAGGGUCUGUUCGACCUUUAAAUCCUUACAUGAUCUGG
This 533-nucleotide ribosomal RNA is filed under the name Penaeus pulchricaudatus. RNAcentral's name for it is "partial large subunit ribosomal RNA". It matches the Rfam family "Bacterial large subunit ribosomal RNA", at positions 1828 to 2608 of the family's 2925-position model. Lineage: Eukaryota; Metazoa; Arthropoda; Malacostraca; Decapoda; Penaeidae. The record is from RNAcentral.